RNAcentral lists this ribosomal RNA (256 nucleotides) under uncultured bacterium. Its description in RNAcentral is "partial 16S ribosomal RNA". It matches the Rfam family "Bacterial small subunit ribosomal RNA", at positions 524 to 776 of the family's 1533-position model. The record is from RNAcentral.
UACGUAGGGGUGCGAGCGUUUAAUCGGAAUUACUGGGCGUAAAGCGUGCGCAGGCGGUUUUGUAAGCCAGAUGUGAAAUCCCCCGGGCUUAACCUGGGAAUGGCAUUUGGGACUGCAAGGCUCGAGUGCGGCAGAGGAGACUGGAAUUCCUGGUGUAGCAGUGAAAUGCGUAGAUAUCAGGAGGAACACCGAUGGCGAAGGCAGGUCUCUGGGCUGACACUGACGCUCAUGCACGAAAGCGUGGGGAGCAAACAGG